This 1198-nucleotide long non-coding RNA is filed under the name Anas platyrhynchos platyrhynchos (common mallard). Its description in RNAcentral is "lncRNA (ENSAPLG00000018575.1)". Lineage: Eukaryota; Metazoa; Chordata; Aves; Anseriformes; Anatidae. The record is from RNAcentral.
UAGUGCGUUUUAAAGGUCUAUAGUAAAACAACAACAAAAUUAUAGAAGAGCUUUUGUAUCUGCCAUAAAGAUGCUGCCACUGAUCCAGGUGUAAUAAAACAACCUCCUCCUUGCCUGGCUGGAUCUGGUCCGUUACUUUUUACUUAAUGCUUUUUUUAUUUUUAUUUUAGAUUUAGUGCGCGCUACAAACACCUCGCAGAGCGGAUGUGUGAGUGCUGUGAUUUAACACCGUCGGCGCUACAGCAGCUUUGCCGGGCAGGAACGGAAAGUGACAAAGUCAUGUAUUGUGCAGCACAUUUGCUUCUCUCUCUCUCUCUCUCUCUUUUUGUUUAAAUUAAACUCUUUGUAUAAAUAGUCAUUCUGGCUGAUUAUAUAAUCUCCCACAUUUAGAUCGUCUGUGUUGCAACCAUGGCAACUCCCCGAGCCGAACGCAUUCGGUUCAAACUUCGUUCUAAAUUUGCUGAUGAGGGUGAAGAAACAGCUCUGGAAGCCCUUCUCAGACAACCUACAUUUGUUCUUUGCCUGCAGAGCUCAAUCCAGCUUGGACAGAGAGCACCCAGUGCCCUAAAUAGCUAAGCAACCAUCUGAGGGUGAGCUAACUGCCCUGGGGGCUGAUAUUUGGUCCUGCCGAAUGUGUCCCACUGGUCAGAUGGCUGGGAGCAGCUCAGCCGUGGAUUUAGGGAGAUGUUGGCCGAGCUGCCCCGAAACUGCAGGAAUUUCAGACUGCAGCCAGCUCCUGACCCCCUGGGAUGGGCAGCCCCUGCUGCUCUGCACUGAGGUUGCAGAAGUAAGGUAAAGUGAGGCCGAGAAUUGUGUGCAGAGUGGAAAAAGCACAAGUGGGUUUUAAAUAACAAUUUGGAAAAAAAAAAAAAAAAGAGCAACUACAUAACUGUUCUAAUUAACCAUUGUGCUCACCUACCGUAUUUCUACUUAUAAUUCUUGGUAUUUUCUUUGAAAGGAUGAAUCAUCCCAAUCAGGUCUUUAUUUUUCUUGUGCCAUAAAUACAACAGAUGAAACGUGUGGCCAAAUUUUCAAGUGAGAUAGCUGUCCAAAUGUCCUAUAGUGGUCACAAGCACAGGAGCCAAAAUCAGACACAGUGAUUUGGGACUGGCAGCACUUCCAGAUUUGCUAGGACUGAAACCCUGCUGUGUUAGGCACUGGCUAAACCCUACAGUCAAUAAAUUGGAGAGUUUAUGCA